AUUCUCUGUAAUCUGAAAUUAUUUUCCGCAUCGAAAGUUUUUAUACAAUUUUUGUUAAUCUAAAAUAUUUAUGAAUAUGUGAUCUAUACAAUAACAUAAGCAUUAAUAUGCUUUACGUAAAAUUUAACUGAAAAUAUGCUGCCACAUUUUGUUGCACGCACACGUGCUCAGAAGCCGGUAUGUGAAAAAUAUAUUCAUUGAGACAAUGCUGUACGCACGUGGUUGCAAAUCAGUAAUGAAAAUCCCAUAGAUUUCUUGGACGACAAACUUAACUCUUGGCACAAGAAGCUUGAUUGAUUGUAUGGAUUUGAUUAAGAAGCAGUUGAACACUGAAUGGCAUUAUUGGCAACCGCUAAAAUUUCUGCAAAUAUGCAUACAGUAAAAUAUUCCUGUGGCACGUUAAGCUAAGGAUUUCCAAUGGCCGCUUGCAUCGGGGGGGAAACAUAGAGCUUAAUAUAGAGUACCUCCGGGAAUGGAACUCUCUAGAGGGGCCUCUUCUUACAUAGAGUCUGCGCCAAGAUUUGGAUGUCAACUCGAUGUAAAUUUUAGUGGACUUACUCAAAGCUUCAAGCUCUAACUGCGCUUUGUCAUCGAUAUGCAGCUAUUGGAGUCAUGUUGGACUUUUCAAAAAACUGUCUAUAUCUAUUUGCAACUUUCGAUAUCCUGCUCAACUUUGAAGAGAUUACAAUUAGCCGGCUGACAACUGAAUGCUUAUAAAC
RNAcentral lists this small RNA (719 nucleotides) under Drosophila mojavensis. RNAcentral's name for it is "GI26163". Lineage: Eukaryota; Metazoa; Arthropoda; Insecta; Diptera; Drosophilidae. The record is from RNAcentral.